RNAcentral lists this long non-coding RNA (414 nucleotides) under Brassica napus (rape). Its description in RNAcentral is "long non-coding RNA (BNAP_LNC003957)". Lineage: Eukaryota; Viridiplantae; Streptophyta; Magnoliopsida; Brassicales; Brassicaceae. The record is from RNAcentral.
AAAUAUUCUAUUAAAAUAUAAAAAAAAAAUAACUUAAUUAAUAUUAAACUUCAAACAAGAUACCAUAUUAUUCCAUAAAAUUAUUUUCGUAAUGCAUAUAUGAUUUAUUAGUGCAUUUCGAAGUAAAAAUAGUUUUUCUCAUUUUUACUUUGUAGAUUACGAGCUAAAAGGUGUUGAAAUCAAAUGAUAUUGAUACUUGUAAAUACAUUAAAUUGGAACAAGACAGUAAAAAGGAAACAUAAAAUAUUACUAAAAGACUAAUUUCUUUUCGAUGAUAUUAAUACUCGUGAAUAUAUUCGAUAUGAACAAGAAAGAAUUGUAAGAAAAAUACAUUAAAAAAAACAACAACAACCAUCUUCACACACACAAAACAAUUUGGAUAAUAUUUGAAAAUUUUGAAGGUCCCGGAUCAAA